UUACAAUCAGAUCAAAAUUUUAGAAGCUAAAUAAGAAAUACUUCUGUACGGGCACACACGCCCACUUACUACUGGUCUUAGUAGCUUUGACUGACAAUCUGAUACAUUCAUAAUGUCAACUGAUUUGAAAGAAAGAAAAUAAAAGAACACUUUUUUGCUUUUGUGUUUAAAAUGCAGCAAGACUGACUCGCAUACAAUGGAAGGAAUUGAUCUUCUGUAAGGGUAUUGAUAAGAAUACGUUUUGGAAAGAUAAUACAAAGAAACCCGUCGGGUGAUACGUUAGUGGACAUCAACUAUUUAAUUUAUUUGCUCGGCUUGCCGAUAUGGAAAGUCUAAAGCCCAAUCAAUAAAAUUGGAUCAAGAAUUUUUAAGUUAUUAGAUUCAUGAGGGUACUUCGUCUUGUAUGUCAGGAGGGGUCCAUUUUUAU
Molecule: long non-coding RNA, 427 nt
Organism: Drosophila albomicans
Lineage: Eukaryota; Metazoa; Arthropoda; Insecta; Diptera; Drosophilidae
Exons: 3
Source: RefSeq, a predicted model, not a curated record